Molecule: ribosomal RNA, 292 nt
Filed under: uncultured Planctomycetota bacterium
Lineage: Bacteria; Pseudomonadati; Planctomycetota
Description: uncultured planctomycete partial 16S ribosomal RNA
Source: RNAcentral
GGACUACUGGGGUAUCUAAUCCCGUUUGCUCCCCUGGCUUUCGCGCCUCAGCGUCAGAAAAGGUCCAGCACGUCGCUUUCGCCACCGGCGUUCCUUCCGAUAUCUACGCAUUUCACCGCUCCACCGGAAGUUCCACAUGCCCCUACCUUCCUCGAGGCGACCAGUAUCAAAGGCUGUUCUCCGGUUGAGCCGGAGGAUUUCACCCCUGACUUGAUCGCCCGCCUACGCGCCCUUUAAGCCCAGUGAAUCCGAACAACGUUCGCACGGUUCGUCUUACCGCGGCUGCUGGCAC